Molecule: ribosomal RNA, 465 nt
Filed under: uncultured bacterium
Lineage: Bacteria
Description: partial 16S ribosomal RNA
Rfam family: Bacterial small subunit ribosomal RNA
Source: RNAcentral
GACGAACGCUGGCGGCGUGCUUAACACAUGCAAGUCGAACGGAAAGGCCCCUUUGGGGGUACUCGAGUGGCGAACGGGUGAGUAACACGUGAGUAACCUGCCCUUGACUUCGGGAUAACUUCAGGAAACUGGGGCUAAUACCGGAUAGGAAUCCUUGCUGCAUGGUGGGGGUUGGAAAGCUUCGGCGGUUUUGGAUGGACUCGCGGCUUAUCAGCUUGUUGGUGGGGUAGUGGCUUACCAAGGCUUUGACGGGUAGCCGGCCUGAGAGGGCGACCGGCCACAUUGGGACUGAGAUACGGCCCAAACUCCUACGGGAGGCAGCAGUGGGGAAUAUUGCACAAUGGGCGGAAGCCUGAUGCAGCAACGCCGCGUGCGGGAUGACGGCCUUCGGGUUGUAAACCGCUUUCAGCAGGGGCGAAGCUUGUGGUGACGGUACCUGCAGAAGAAGCACCGGCUAACUACGUG